Long non-coding RNA from Arabidopsis lyrata subsp. lyrata, 1376 nucleotides. RefSeq lists it as uncharacterized. The record is from RefSeq and is a predicted model, not a curated record. Lineage: Eukaryota; Viridiplantae; Streptophyta; Magnoliopsida; Brassicales; Brassicaceae. The transcript has 6 exons.
UUUUUGGGGGUCAUAACAUACACAAUCGAAGUCUAAUACUGCAUUAGAUUGUGUGCCAAAAUUGCCAAAGUCUAGUCCAGUUAAAUAGAAACGAAGAGAUUUUGGAUGUUAUUUCAGUGAUAGAAAAGAAGAAAUCAGAAUCCAUGGAACCUAAAAUAGAAAUGUCAGUUGUUUUCCAACAAUCUAAAACGCAUCGUUUUUCGUUUGUCAGGUGUUGUGUGUCGCAGACGGACUAAAGUUGGUUGGUUUAAAUGUAAGAAAGCAUUCUUAAGGGUUAUAAUAUGGAAAUGGCGGAAGUUGAGGGGCUCUUUCAACAAAUUCGCUAAAAAGUUUGGCUUCUAUAAAUCCGAGCGGGAAAGAUUUGUUUCAUAAAAAAACUCAUUUCCAAAUAUCAAAAUCCAAAGAUGAUUUUUGGGUUUGUGUUCAAGAGACAAGAGAAGAGUGCUCCAACAAGGCCGAAUUCAGUGGGUUUCACGUUGGUGAAGAAGAACUUGCGUUUCAAAGCAACAACAAGAACAACGAAACAAUCAUCAUCAACAAAGGAGAUUUGCAUUGGAGCAGCCAUUGUUGUCGCUGUGAUCUUUUUUCGUCGAUUUCUGCAUAGCGAUUGAGAUCGGUGGAGCUGAUCUCUUAACUUAAAUCUUUCGUUUCUCUUCUUCUUCUUUCUUGUCAACUCGUUCGCUCUCUUCUUGAGAUUCUUGCUCCAUCUUCUUAAAACCCAAAAUCUCUCAAAUCUCUGUAAUCCGAUCGACCUAUCAAUUCUUGCGUGUUUACAAAACCCUAAGUCAUGGAUGAAUUGCGAGUAUUCAAAUGGGUUACUUGAAAUCUCUUGUUAACGAAGAGAUUUCAAGGUAUAUCUAAAGAACGAACGAGAUCAAAUCCAGAUACCAUACUUGGACGAAAGUGCUUCUUUUGUCUCUGCAUCACAUAAGGAACGAGAGCUUGAAGCAGUUGCAUUGGUUCAUUCUGACAAGACAAAUCUCACUUCACUUAACGUUCCACCCAUGGGUCUGUUUUAUCUUACUCAUUGUUUUCCUGAAGUGUUUCCCCAGCCACCACCGUACAUGGUUCCAAUACCAAGAGAAUAUCUUGGAGGAAACAUGGACUCUGCAGAUGGUGGUAAUAUGGGAUUACCUGUGUGGAACCUGAAAUCCAAGAAAGAAGAGGACAUUAGUCUCGUGAAGCCACUACAAGCAGCAUUCUCUCAAUGUGUUUCACCAACUCUUAGUGUGUGUUAAGGCUUCCUCUGUUUCUUUCUAUUUCACUUUCCUUCUGUACAUGAAAAAACAAACCGACAAGACAACAAUUUCCAAAAGGGUUUCCUUAUUGAUUGUCUUAGCCGUCUAUGAUAUAGACUAACUACUAGUUGAGCUCAA